AUUGAACGCUGGCGGCAGGCCUAACACAUGCAAGUCGAACGGUAACAGGAAGAAGCUUGCUUCUUUGCUGACGAGUGGCGGACGGGUGAGUAAUGUCUGGGAAACUGCCUGAUGGAGGGGAUAACUACUGGAAACGGUAGCUAAUACCGCAUAACGUCGCAAGACCAAAGAGGGGGACCUUCGGGCCUCUUGCCAUCGGAUGUGCCCAGAUGGGAUUAGCUAGUAGGUGGGGUAACGGCUCACCUAGGCGACGAUCCCUAGCUGGUCUGAGAGGAUGACCAGCCACACUGGAACUGAGACACGGUCCAGACUCCUACAGGAGGCAGCAGUGGGGAAUAUUGCACAAUGGGCGCAAGCCUGAUGCAGCCAUGCCGCGUGUAUGAAGAAGGCCUUCGGGUUGUAAAGUACUUUCAGCGGGGAGGAAGGGAGUAAAGUUAAUACCUUUGCUCAUUGACGUUACCCGCAGAAGAAGCACCGGCUAACUCCGUG
This 489-nucleotide ribosomal RNA is filed under the name uncultured bacterium. RNAcentral's name for it is "partial 16S ribosomal RNA". It matches the Rfam family "Bacterial small subunit ribosomal RNA", at positions 30 to 507 of the family's 1533-position model. The record is from RNAcentral.